AACGAACGCUGGCGGCAUGCCUAACACAUGCAAGUCGAACGAAGGCUUCGGCCUUAGUGGCGCACGGGUGCGUAACGCGUGGGAAUCUGCCCUUUGGUUCGGAAUAACAGCUGGAAACGGCUGCUAAUACCGGAUGAUGACGAAAGUCCAAAGAUUUAUCGCCAGAGGAUGAGCCCGCGUUGGAUUAGGUAGUUGGUGGGGUAAAGGCCUACCAAGCCGACGAUCCAUAGCUGGUCUGAGAGGAUGAUCAGCCACACUGGGACUGAGACACGGCCCAGGCUCCUACGGGAGGCAGCAGUGGGGGAUAUUGGACAAUGGGCGCAAGCCUGAUCCAGCAAUGCCGCGUGAGUGAUGAAGGCCCUAGGGUUGUAAAGCUCUUUUACCCGGGAAGAUAAUGACUGUACCGGGAGAAUAAGCCCCGGCUAACUCCGUG
Molecule: ribosomal RNA, 433 nt
Filed under: uncultured bacterium
Lineage: Bacteria
Description: partial 16S ribosomal RNA
Rfam family: Bacterial small subunit ribosomal RNA
Source: RNAcentral